ACACUUCAGUUUCCGCCUUCUGCUCACGGACUGCAGAGAAAAGACGCCCUUCAAAACACAACGCUGGUCAUAUUUGUAAGUAGAAUAGUUUAAUGAAAUGUCUGAUACUUUUUCAUCUCCUGUUAGCUUUUCAUGUCACAUAUUUGACUUGUGUUAUUAUCCCUAAAGUCCCAGAGAAAGGAGAGAGGAGCAGAGAUGAGUUUAACUGCAGCAGUGAGUGGAUUCAUCCUUCUCCUCUCUGUAUCAGGUACUUCAUAUCUAAAGCUUUUCCUCUUCACUCUGAGAAACCUGCAGCCUCUUUUUAAUUUGAUCAAAAACAGACUCUGCUUACAGAACCUGCAGUUUUUUCUCCAAAAUUCUGAUUGUAAUUUGCUGUAUUGAAAUCAGUUUUUGAGUUUUUUAGUGGAUACUAGUUUUGCAGUCAGGCUAGUGUCUCAGGGACUCAUUUAUUACAACACAUCUGCAACAACCCUGUCUGUUCCUCUUCAUAGGUGUUAUAUUUCCAUGCUGAUGCUGCAUUGACAGCACUUAUCUAAUCAUUGAGUAUUAGCUGCUGUACAGUUUCUCACCCCUUAGACUUCUGCAUUUAUUUUUAGAUACACACUUGACUGGGCAGCUAACUUUGCACAGAGAAAACUUUCACAGAACAGCACAAUCUGUCAAAUAAUUUACACUGUUAAUAAUGCUGUUGGGUUAGAGAAGUGUUCAUGAAUAUAAACAUCUGUAAUUUUUCAGUAUGGAUAAAUCUUCUCUCAGAUAUUUUGAUAAGUAGUUUAAAAUCUAAUAUCAAACAGAGAAAAAAGCUAAACCUGACAAAAAUAUCUUACAUGUGAUUGUUAUAUCAAGAUGAUGUCGGACUGCACCUCAAUGAUCUGGUUCAGAUUUAUUUAUUUCAUGUUCAGUCUUAAACUUUUCCUGGUCUGGUUAAAUUGACUGUGUUCUCUGAUUUUUGUGUUUUAGUGGUUCAGCCUCAGAACGGCUGGGAGGUGACUUACUCUACAGCUCAGAUCUGUGUCUCUAGAGGAUCAACUGUAGAAAUAAGCUGCAACUUUAAGUACCCAAAAACAAUGAAGAGGAAGCAGAACAAACUCUUAAAAACAUUUUGGUUUAUUAGGAAACGUGGUGAUGAGUUUCUAAACAUUGAAACAGACUCAGAGUAUUCAGGUCGUGUGAAGACCACGCAUGAUGGGACCAGAUCCACCCUAACAAUCACAAACCUGACAGGGAGUGACUCAGCUCAGUACAAGUUCAGGAUGGAGACAAGCUUUGACAAAUAUUUUGGCAGCGGAGGUGUGACCUUGUCUGUCAGAGGUAAAGUUUUCUCUGAAAUUUUUUCAUCUUUUAUCUUUUUUAAAAUCCUGUAAAUGAUUGUAUCAUGUGUAUGUUUAUGUGGAAAGUACUGACAGUUUUAUCUGAUCAGAUGUCCAGAUAAUGGUGAGCAGACCAGGUGGGCAUUUGCAGUUGAAGUGUCUCAGCCGUUGUCGUCAAGAUUUUCGAUACAUUUGGUUCAAGAACGGAGAGAAGAUUAAGAACCAAAAUUCAAAAGAUCAUCAACCAGACCAGAUUCUGAACACAGACAGAUUUUCCUGUGCUGUAGAAGGAUAUGAGGACUUCCCCUCUCCUUCAGUGUGUGAGUUUACCCCUCCCUUUCCUCUAACACAACACUAUCUGAUGGAGGUUUGAAAAUUUGGUGCGUGCCCUGACUCUCUGGUCUGUGGCUAACAUUUCCACUUUAAAAAACAUCUCAUAUCUGUGAUGCUCAGAGUAAAAACUCAAUAGUAAAGAGUUGUUAAAGGACAGAGAGCAUAAACCAAGUACAUCAGUGACUGAAAUGUUAACUGUAAAAUGUGUUUCUUCUUCAGAUGCUUUCGAGCCUCCCUCUGUGUCAGUGAGUUCCUCUGCUGAGAUAAUGGAGGGAAAAAAUGUGACUCUGACCUGCAGCAGUGAUGCUAAUGUAGAAUCCAGUUAUACCUGGUAUCAAAGAAAUGAACCUCGAUAUCCUCUGCGUCUCAGGAGAGGACCUCAGCUUGUCUUCAGCUCCAUCAAGUCCUCAGACUUUGGACAGUAUUACUGUGAAGUGAGGAACAUCUUUGGGACACAGAUAUCGGGGAACAUCUUGGCUGGUUUGACAUGUGUGUGAAACAUCACAGUUCAAACACAUUAGAAAGACAAUAAACUACACAACAAUACCUCAAAACAGUUUUAUCCUGUAUUUGAACAAAAAGCACUAAGACAAAAUUUCUUCUUUUAUAUGUUUAUUUGCAUGUUUUAAUUUACUAACUUUGAUUAAAUCCAUUUCCAGAUGAUCCAGAGCUUCCCUCUGUGUCAGUGAGUCCCUCUGCUGAGAUAGUGGAGGGUAAUCAUGUGACUCUGACCUGCAGCAGUGAUGCUAAGCCAGAUGCUAACCAUACCUGGUACAGAAGAAAUGGUGAUCUAAGUCCUCAGAGUCUCAGAAAAGGAAAUCAGCUUGUCUUCAGCUCCAUCCAGGUGUCAGACUCUGGACAGUAUUAUUGUGAAGUGAGGGGCAUCACUGAGUCCUCUAGGGAUGUCUUAGUCUAUGUGAAAUGUGAGUAAAGUCACAUUUAAAGGGCAACAUAAGGAUGAAAACCAUACACAACCAUAUCCCAGAACAUUUUUUUAUUCUGUUUCUUUGUCAUUUCUGUUUUUAUCCGUCUUCAGAUGCUCCAAAGUUCUCUUAUGUGUCUGUGAGUCCCUCUUCUGAGAUAGUGGAGGGCAGUUCAGUGACUCUGACCUGUAUCAGUUACGCCAACCCAGCACCACGUUCCACCUGGUACAAGGAGAACAACACCACGUUUCAUUCAACAGGAGGAAUUUAUACUUUUCUCAACAUCAGCCAUCUGGACAGAGGGAGAUACAACUGCAGAUCUGAGAAUCAAUAUGGAUCACAUGUAUCUCCCCCUCUCUCACUGGAUAUCCAGUGUGAGUAGAAGACAUUACAAAGUUAGAUCACCUGGUACAAAACUCUUCUUAAUGGCUUAAGUCUCCAUGUAAAGUUCUCUUUCGAUCUCCUCCAGAUGCUCCAAAACGUCCCUCUGUGUCAGUGAGUCCCUCUGCUGAGAUAGUGGAGGGUAGUUCAGUAAAUCUGACCUGCAGCAGUGAUGCUAACCCUGCAGCUACUUAUACCUGGUACAAAGAGAGUGAAGACUCAGCAAACGCUUCAGGACAGACCCUCACCAUCACUGAGUUCAGAGCUCAUCACAGUGGGAAUUAUUACUGUGAAGCCCGAAACAAAAUAGGACGCCAGAAAUCCAGCCCACAUCAGAUCGUUGCGGCAGGUGAGAUAUUUACACACCUGCACACAGAGAGCUUACCCAGAAUACUCAAAGCAGCUCAUGAUAUGUUUAAUUAAUUAAUUUUUUCCUUCACAAACAUGUUUUCUCUGAAUCAGAUCUUAAAACUGACUAAAGUGAAUAAUUCAUGGAGGGACCUCCAUGUCAGAUUCUGGCUCAACAGAGUCUCAGACAGAGCUAAAGAUAUAGACCAGUCUGAUUCUGUUAGUAAUGUGUCUCACAUAUCUCUCUUCUUUCAUUCAAGGGAAAUCAACAAUAACAACCAUAAUUAGCAUCAGGUUGACCCUGUUCUUUUUGAUGUUAAUUCCACCACUUCUUGUGAUUCUGUUGACAAGGUAAAACCAUAAAACUCCAUCAAUUCAAACACGUUUCUUUUAUGAUCCUCUUCACUUGGUUCAUAGUUUAAUUUCUUUUCUCUCUAUUAUUGUAAAACUAACUUUUCUCAAAUGUAAUAAUCCAGGAAGAAGAAACCUCUGAGCUCCAACACUGAACCAAGUGAACCUGCAGAGAUGAUAGAGGUGAGACCGACUGCUGACAAAACAUCUUUACAGACCUGUUCAAAGAUGUCAGGAUCAAAGUUUCAAAAUGGGACUAAAAUACUUUCAAAGAUGAUCAACUCUCUUCAUCUGUCCUCAGCUGGACUCUGCUCAUGAGAAUGAGAAAGUCUCAGCGGUCACUGCAGCACAGACUGAAGACAUAGAGGAGCAGGAAGACAGGGUGUAAAGUCCAGUCAGGGUGGGGUGUCUCCAGUGGUGCUGAUGGUCUACUGGUCCCAUAACUGGACUAGAGUCCCCUGUUGAGCGGUUGCUGGUUCAACUCCCGCCCAUGAUCCUUUGCUGCACAUGUUCUCUCAGUCAAAAAUAAGACGUUUCAAACUCUUACUUUUGUCAUGUUGGUUAAGUUUCCUUUAUUUUUGCACAUUCAUGUUUUGUUUCAUGUCAUGUAUUUCCUGUUUUAUUUUGUAGUUCACCAACUCUUGUUUCUGUCUUCUAGCUUUGUUCCUGUCUGGUCUGCCCUCGUUUUGUCACACCUGCUGCCUGAUUGUGUUUCCCCACCUGUUCCCCAUCACCCUCACUACCUCUUGUAUUUAAUCUCAUGCAUCUCACUUUCUCAUCACCAGUUCGUUGCACUCUAUAGUCACGUUCCAGCAUUAUGCAUAGUUUUAGUCAAGUCAUGUAUUACCUUUGCCUGCUUUAUUUUUGACCUUGCCGUUUUACAAUAAAUCCUUGUCUUUUGGACCAACUGA
Molecule: long non-coding RNA, 4557 nt
Filed under: Xyrichtys novacula (pearly razorfish)
Lineage: Eukaryota; Metazoa; Chordata; Actinopteri; Labriformes; Labridae
Source: RNAcentral